CCAAGGGCUCUUUUCAGAGCCAGUCACUUUUGCAUUCAUAUUGAAU
Non-coding RNA from Pteropus alecto (black flying fox), 46 nucleotides. The record is from Rfam. NCBI's taxonomy places the organism in Eukaryota, Metazoa, Chordata, Mammalia, Chiroptera, Pteropodidae.